Molecule: non-coding RNA, 852 nt
Filed under: Scinax cruentomma (Manaus snouted treefrog)
Lineage: Eukaryota; Metazoa; Chordata; Amphibia; Anura; Hylidae
Description: partial 12S ribosomal RNA
Rfam family: Bacterial small subunit ribosomal RNA
Source: RNAcentral
UCCUAGCCUUAUAAUCAGUUAUUACUCAACUUACACAUGCAAGUAUCCGCACCCCUGUGAGAACGCCCUCAAACCCCUUCAGGGGUCAGGAGCUGGUAUCAGGCUCGACUCCCCAGCCCAUGACACCUAGCAACGCCACACCCACAAGGGUAUACAGCAGUGAUUAACAUUGAACAUAAGCGCAAGCUUGACUCAGUCAGAGCAAGCAGAGCCGGCAAAUCUGGUGCCAGCCGCCGCGGCCACACCAGGGGCUCAAACUGAUUAUGUUCGGCGUAAAGCGUGAUUAAAGCUAUUUUAAACUGCAGUUAAAUUGGAACUAAACCGUGAAACCAUGGAACCCAGGAAACACAAAAACGAAAGUCACUGCAAUAUAACCCACUUGAUCUCACGACAGUCAGGACACAAACUGGGAUUAGAUACCCCACUAUGCCUCACCGUAAACUUUAAAUUUACACCCAAAUCGCCAGGGAACUACGAGCAAUGCUUAAAACCAAAGGACUUGACGGUGCCCCACACCACCUAGAGGAGCCUGUCCUAUAAUCGAUAACCCACGUUUAACCUCACCACUCUUUGCUUAUCAGUCUGUAUACCUCCGUCGUCAGCUUGCCGCGUGAGCGAUUUCAAUAAGCGAAAAGGUCCUCACACCAAAACGUCAGGUCAAGGUGCAGCUUACAGAGCGGGAAGAGAUGGGCUACACUCUCUAAUAUAGAAAAUAGAAAGACUUUAUGAAAUUCUAGUCAGAAGGCGGAUUUAGCAGUAAAACGAGAUGAUAAAGCUCGCUUAAACAUGGCCCUGGGGUGUGUACACACCGCCCGUCACCCUCUUCGAAAUCCCUAAAAAAAGUAUAUAACA